GAUGAACGCUGGCGGCGUGCCUAAUACAUGCAAGUCGAGCGAACAGACGAGGAGCUUGCUCCUCUGAUGUUAGCGGCGGACGGGUGAGUAACACGUGGAUAACCUACCUAUAAGACUGGGAUAACUUCGGGAAACCGGAGCUAAUACCGGAUAACAUGUUGAACCGCAUGGUUCGACAGUGAAAGACGGUCUUGCUGUCACUUAUAGAUGGAUCCGCGCCGCAUUAGCUAGUUGGUAAGGUAACGGCUUACCAAGGCAACGAUGCGUAGCCGACCUGAGAGGGUGAUCGGCCACACUGGAACUGAGACACGGUCCAGACUCCUACGGGAGGCAGCAGUAGGGAAUCUUCCGCAAUGGGCGAAAGCCUGACGGAGCAACGCCGCGUGAGUGAAGAAGGUCUUCGGAUCGUAAAACUCUGUUAUUAGGGAAGAACAAAUGUGUAAGUAACUAUGCACGUCUUGACGGUACCUAAUCAGAAAGCCACGGCUAACUACGUG
RNAcentral lists this ribosomal RNA (497 nucleotides) under uncultured bacterium. Its description in RNAcentral is "partial 16S ribosomal RNA". It matches the Rfam family "Bacterial small subunit ribosomal RNA", at positions 28 to 507 of the family's 1533-position model. The record is from RNAcentral.